CAAGUCGAACGGCAGCGCGGGAGCAAUCCUGGCGGCGAGUGGCGAACGGGUGAGUAAUACAUCGGAACGUGCCCAAUCGUGGGGGAUAACGCAGCGAAAGCUGUGCUAAUACCGCAUAAGAUCUACGGAUGAAAGCAGGGGAUCGCAAGACCUUGCGCGACUGGAGCGGCCGAUGGCAGAUUAGGUAGUUGGUGGGGUAAAGGCUCACCAAGCCGACGAUCUGUAGCUGGUCUGAGAGGACGACCAGCCACACUGGGACUGAGACACGGCCCAGACUCCUACGGGAGGCAGCAGUGGGGAAUUUUGGACAAUGGGCGCAAGCCUGAUCCAGCCAUGCCGCGUGCAGGAUGAAGGCCUUCGGGUUGUAAACUGCUUUUGUACGGAACGAAAAGGCUCUUUCUAAUAAAGAGGGCUCAUGACGGUACCGUAAGAAUAAGCACCGGCUAACUACGUGCCAGCAGCCGCGGUAAUACGUAGGGUGCGAGCGUUAAUCGGAAUUACUGGGCGUAAAGCGUGCGCAGGCGGUGAUGUAAGACAGUUGUGAAAUCCCCGGGCUCAACCUGGGAACUGCAUCUGUGACUGCAUCGCUGGAGUGCGGCAGAAGGGGAUGGAAUUCCGCGUGUAGCAGUGAAAUGCGUAGAUAUGCGGAGGAACACCGAUGGCGAAGGCAAUCCCCUGGGCCUGCACUGACGCUCAUGCACGAAAGCGUGGGGAGCAAACAGGAUUACAUACCCUGGUAGUCCACGCCCUAAACGAUGUCAACUGGUUGUUGGG
This 774-nucleotide ribosomal RNA is filed under the name uncultured Variovorax sp. RNAcentral's name for it is "bacterial SSU rRNA". It matches the Rfam family "Bacterial small subunit ribosomal RNA", at positions 58 to 827 of the family's 1533-position model. The record is from RNAcentral. Lineage: Bacteria; Pseudomonadati; Pseudomonadota; Betaproteobacteria; Burkholderiales; Comamonadaceae.